Molecule: unclassified non-coding RNA, 847 nt
Filed under: Hevea brasiliensis (rubber tree)
Lineage: Eukaryota; Viridiplantae; Streptophyta; Magnoliopsida; Malpighiales; Euphorbiaceae
Source: RNAcentral
GUAAUCUGAUAAAAAAAAAAAAAAGGGCAAAGUUUACAAUGUUUAACCAUAAGGCAGGCGUUUGGUGGACAUGAAUUCAUUGAAUUUUAUUAAAUUGCUUCGGAUAAGCCAACAAGCAAUGCCUAGACGAUGUUUACAUAGACCUGCUUAGACUCGACAAAUACAAGCCUAUUGUUUUGGGAAACUUCCAGUUCCAGCUACCAAUCCAAAGUAAAUUAACAGCACAAGAAGAAGGCACAAAAUUUUAUACUUCUAGUAGGUAUGGCAGCACGACUUUGGCUGCCUAGGACGAGUCUACAAGAUAGACUAGCCAAUCAAUAAUUAAAAAAAAAAAAAAGAUAAUCUGACUUGACCAUAUCCGAUUUUCUUGUCUUGUAAUAGUAAAGUCUAUGUCAACGAAAGACCAUUCAAAAUCAAUGGAAAUUAUAAUGAAAUAUUGCUUGAUUAAUUUGCGCUGCCAACAGUCAUUGCAGGCACAAAUUAAAAAAUAAAUACCAGCACCAGACCAUUGGUUUCCUCCCUCUCACCCGAGAAGACCACCAAUUGCUGCCGUCAGGUCAGUCCUCCUGGCUCCAGCUACCAGCAUCCUAGGUUUUUUCUUGGCUGAAGUAUUUAAUUUGGAUCAAUUACCUUUCUAAGGAUUUAAUUCUAAACUAAAUUUAUCCUUUUGCAUGCCUAUAGUGGCUCUAAUAAAGAAUAAGUAUAUCUCAAAAUUACAUUAUUAUAUUCAUUUAGUAAAUAAUAUCUUUAUGACAUCCUUUAAUAGGAAAAUUCCAUAUCUUUUCUUCUUAUUUUUUUUUAAAUACAUACGCGUAGGAAUCUAUUCCACAUCCACAUCAGCCUUUAC